GAGAAGAUUAGAAGUUGGAAGUGGAA
This 26-nucleotide non-coding RNA is filed under the name Cricetulus griseus (Chinese hamster). Lineage: Eukaryota; Metazoa; Chordata; Mammalia; Rodentia; Cricetidae. The record is from RNAcentral.